GGGACCCCCCGGCGAUGGCUGAGCUCGGGUUCGUCAUGAGCCGGGACGGGACGGGACGGACGGGGGGGAAAACAGGGGGAAAACAACCCGAGGGAGGGAUGGAUUUGGGAGCGGAGGGUGGGAGUUGAGGCGGGCGGGGAGGGAAUUCCAGCGGCGGGAGGUGCCGGGCGAGUGCCGUGGCAGGCGGCCCGCUGAAUGCCAGUGGUCGGAUCAGCCCCGGCUCCGGAUGAGCUCCGCUCCCGCCCCGUGCCCCCUGCCCUUCCUGCCCUCCGCGAACGUCUCCCCUGGAAAUGCGGAGGCACCGGCGGGUCCCGCUCCCUCCCCGGCCCUUCCUUCUCGAGUUUCUGCGUCCUCCUGUUCCAGUCCUGGGUCCUUCUCCAGUCCCUGUGUCCUCCUGUUCCAGUCCUUGGUCCUUCUCCAGUCCCUGUGUCCUCCUGUUCCAGUCCUGGGUCCUUCUCCAGUCCCUUCGUCCUUCUGUUCUAAUCCCAGAUCCUUCUCCAGUCCCUGUGUCCUUUCAUUCAAAUCCUGGGUCCUUCUCCAGUCCCUGUGUCUUCCUGUUCCAGUCCUGGGUCCUUCUCCAGUCCCUGUGUCCUUUCAUUCCAACCCUGGAUCCUUCUCCAGUCCCUUCGUCCUCCUGUUCCAGUCCUGGAUCCUUCUCCAGUCCCUGUGUCCUCUCAUUCCAAUCCUGGGUCCUUCUCCAGUCUCUGUGUCCUCCUGUUCCAGUCCUGGGUCCUUCUCCAGUCCCUGCGUCCUUCUCCAGUCACUGUGUCCUCCUUCUCUGAAACCAGCCCUAACAUCCCUAAAGCCAGCCCUAUUCUCCCCAAAACCAGACCUAUCAUCCCUAAAUCCAGCCCUAACAUCCCUAAAACCAGCCCUAUCCUCCCCCAAAACAGAUCUAUCAUCCCUAAAUCCAGAUUUGUCCUCCCUAAAUCCAGCCCUAUCAUCCCUAAAACCAGCCCUAUCCUCCCCAAAACAGACCUAUCAUCCCUAAAUCCAGACCUAUCCUCCCUAAAUCCAGCCCUAUCAUCCCCAAAACCAGACAUAUCCUCCCUAAAACCAGACCUAUC
RNAcentral lists this long non-coding RNA (1067 nucleotides) under Manacus vitellinus (golden-collared manakin). Its description in RNAcentral is "lncRNA (ENSMVIG00005013269.1)". Lineage: Eukaryota; Metazoa; Chordata; Aves; Passeriformes; Pipridae. The record is from RNAcentral.